Ziziphus jujuba (common jujube) is the source of this 596-nucleotide long non-coding RNA. RefSeq lists it as uncharacterized. Lineage: Eukaryota; Viridiplantae; Streptophyta; Magnoliopsida; Rosales; Rhamnaceae. The transcript is spliced from 2 exons. The record is from RefSeq and is a predicted model, not a curated record.
UGGUAGAGCGCUCGCUUAGCAUGCGAGAGGUACGGGGAUCGAUACCCCGCAUCUCCACUACCGUUGUUUUUCGUUUUGAAUAUUGUUAUUAUUUUUCAGUAUUAAAAAUUUAAACCGACGGUUCGGACGGUUUUAAUUAUGUGAAAUAAAUACAAUGAUACAGAUCCAGAAUUUCCAAUACGAAACUCGUUUUCCAGCCUUUGCUAUGCUUGGGCGCUAAGAAACUUUCGCUCGAAUUUUCCAUCAGGCAUCUCAUUUUCUCUGUUAUUUCCCUCCCAAAUUUCAAUACACAAUUCUCAUUUUAUCUAUUUUGCCAAAUCGAUGCGGAUUUUCCUGCCUCAAGCUAUGCAUUUUUGGGAACGAUUUGAUUUUCUUGAUACUGGUUUGCCUUCCAUAAAAUUAUAAGAUCCGUUUAAUCGACGAAAUUCUUAGCAUCUUCGACUUGCUAGCUAGAUCGUUAAUCUCUCUUGGAUCUGUUAAUUUUUCACUCCUAAUUCCAUACUUGCUUCGAUUAUGUUGUUUGAUUUGUACAUGGAAGAAUUAAAACAAAUGUAAGAAGUUCGUAAGAAUCAGAAACACAUAAAACACUUCUUUGA